CCUGCGCGCUCGCGGCCCCGCCCGGCCCCGCCCCUGGCUCCCUGGCUGGCCCGAGAUCCGAAGCCUCGCGCAGUGUCUCUCACCAAAGCCGCGGAGGGCAGGGUGGGGCUGGCAACCCGCGCGGGCAGCAGUGGCCCUUCUGCCUCACACACACAAGCCUUCCGUACGCGGAUGGUUAGACAGUUGUGUGUGUACGUACACUACAUCUUUUGUCCAGCAUUCUGCUAACUCUUCCUACGUUUAGCUGGACUGAGGCGUCGCUGUCGCCCCAAGUCCCCUGGAGAAAAGCUUCAGGGGCAGAAUUACCCCCGUUGUUUCAUGCAGCCAGAGCCUCUUUCUUCGUAACCCAAAGAAUCCGGACGGACCUGCCUUUCCCAGAACGGAGACCCUGGCCUCCUUGGUCUCCUUUUACUGCUCAAACAAAAGCCCGAAUUGGAAAGACCACCCCUAAACUGAUGUGUUUGCUCUAAUCGGCGCCGCGUUUUCCUCAGGCACCUUUCCGCCUUAGUCCUUUUUAGCUGACAGGAAUAAUUGAGCAUUUGCGAGGAUGCUAAGCUAAAAAGAAAACUCUGAAAAUUCUACACAACGUCUUGCCCUACGUGCACGUCUGUCUGUGCAACGCGGUUUCCACAUCUCCGAGGGAGGGCUUUUAUUCACAAAGACUGCGGGUCUUUAGGGGCUUUUUAGGGCAUAUGGAAGGAAAAUUGCAAUGGAGUUAAUGCCUCGGGGUAGAGAGUGAGAUCAAGCCCUCACACCCUUAGAAUUCAGAAGGUUCUGUUGGUACCACAGUUCCGUAGUCUGUUUAGGUUUUGUUGUUGUUGUUGUUUUGUUUUGUUUUGUUGUUUUCCUAUUUGCAAAUUUGGUUUGACUCAAGCACCAGGAUAGGGGAGGGAGUUCCAUCCAACACCUUGCAGGGUCAGCCAACUUGGGUGGGAUUUUGCUGGAGGAGAGGGGAGAAGGUGAUGUGUCUGGCGCCAUGAUCGGAAGUCUGGGUUUAAUUCUUAGCUGCAAGGUGGAAAAAUUAUGUGGGAGGGCGAUCUUAAGAGGUGAAGUCUAGUCGUCCCUUCUCUUAGUAGGCAGAAGGGUUAUUCUGAAGGCUGGUUUUGCUGGUCUUUCCUUAUAGUUAGGGGCAGUUCCAAAGAGGUCUUCAUAAGUGCACUCCGAAAAUCACACUCUCUGCUUGCUUGUUCAAGUCUUCUUUAAUCUCUUUAUCUGAACUUGAUGU
RNAcentral lists this long non-coding RNA (1225 nucleotides) under Marmota monax (woodchuck). Lineage: Eukaryota; Metazoa; Chordata; Mammalia; Rodentia; Sciuridae. The record is from RNAcentral.